RNAcentral lists this long non-coding RNA (1133 nucleotides) under Sarcophilus harrisii (Tasmanian devil). RNAcentral's name for it is "lncRNA (ENSSHAG00000032338.1)". Lineage: Eukaryota; Metazoa; Chordata; Mammalia; Dasyuromorphia; Dasyuridae. The record is from RNAcentral.
UACUUCCCUUUUUUAUGUUAUAUCAGUACAAUCAAAUUAUACAUGUAUUCUUUUUGUAUAUCCACAACAGAAAUACAAUUCUCAAGAGUUAUUUUUACCUUUUCUGCACCUCUUGAGUUCUAUGCUUGGAGAUCAAAUUUUUUGUUUCGUUCUGGUUUUUUCUUCAGAAACAAAUGGAAUUCAUUUGUUUCAUUAAAUGUCCAUCUUCUUCCCUGGAAGAAAAUGCUCAGCUUAGCUGGGUAGUUUAUUCUUGGCUGCAUCUCAAGUUCUUGUGCCUUUCGGAAUACCAUAUUCCAGGCCUUUCUUUCCUUUAAUGUAGAGGCAGCCAGAUCUUGGGUGAUCCUUAUUGUGGCACCUCGGUAUUUAAAUGGUUUUUUUUUUUUUUGCUGCUUGUAAAAUUUUUUCCUUAAUCUGAUAGUUCUGAAAUUUUGCCACAAUAUUCCUUGGGGUUUUUAUUUUACAGUUUCUUUCAGAAGGUGUUCGAUGAAUUCUUUCAAUGCCUAUUUUACCUUCUGAUUCUAUUACAUCUGGGCAGUUCUCUUUGAUGAUUUCUUGUAAAAAUAGUAUUCAGGCUCUUUUUCAUCAUAGCUUUCGGAAAGUCCAAUAAUCCUCAGAUUAUCUCUCCUAGAUCUAUUUUCCAAAUCUGUCGUUUUUGCAAGUAGAUAAUUCAUGGUUUUUUCCAGUUUGUCAUUUUUUUUUUGCUUGACUGAUUCUUGCUGUCUCAAUGAAUCAUUAGUUUCUAUUUGUUCAGUUCUAAUUUUAAAGAAUUAUUUUCUUCAUUAGCUUUUUUACUUCUUUCUGUAUAUGUCCAAUUGAGUUUUUGAAUGUAUUGUUUUGGUCUGUGGAAUUUUUUUCCAUUUCACUAAUUUUUUUUUUUUAGUGAAUUAUUUUCUUUUUCCAAUUCACCGAUCCUACUUUCUUGCGUGUUCUUUGUCUUUUCCAAUUCACGGAUCCUACUUUCUAGUGAAUUCUUUAUUUUUUCCAAUUCACAAUUCUUACUUUCCUGUGAUUUUUUUAUUUUUUCCAAUUCACCAAUUUGCACUUCCUGGGAAUUUUUUAACUUUUCCAAUUCGUAUUUCAGGAAGUUGUUGCUCUCUUGUAAGGCUUCUCUUUCCUUUCCCCAUUUAUCUUCU